GGAGAGGUGGCAGAGUGGUCGAAUGCGCUCGACUUGAAAUCGAGUGUACGCAAGUACCGAGGGUUCGAAUCCCUCCCUCUCCG
This 83-nucleotide transfer RNA is filed under the name Tabrizicola sp. RNAcentral describes it as "tRNA-Ser". It matches the Rfam family "tRNA". Rfam says of the family: Transfer RNA (tRNA) molecules are approximately 80 nucleotides in length. Their secondary structure includes four short double-helical elements and three loops (D, anti-codon, and T loops). The record is from RNAcentral. RNAcentral also lists the same sequence under 1 other name. Lineage: Bacteria; Pseudomonadati; Pseudomonadota; Alphaproteobacteria; Rhodobacterales; Paracoccaceae.